This 72-nucleotide transfer RNA is filed under the name Krameria bicolor. RNAcentral describes it as "tRNA-Lys". It matches the Rfam family "tRNA". Rfam says of the family: Transfer RNA (tRNA) molecules are approximately 80 nucleotides in length. Their secondary structure includes four short double-helical elements and three loops (D, anti-codon, and T loops). The record is from RNAcentral. Lineage: Eukaryota; Viridiplantae; Streptophyta; Magnoliopsida; Zygophyllales; Krameriaceae.
GGGUUGCUAACUCAACGGUAGAGUACCCGGCUUUUAAUCGACUAGUUCCGGGUUCGAGAUCCCGGGCAACCC